Molecule: ribosomal RNA, 229 nt
Filed under: uncultured bacterium
Lineage: Bacteria
Description: partial 16S ribosomal RNA
Rfam family: Bacterial small subunit ribosomal RNA
Source: RNAcentral
GAUCCUGGCUCAGGAUGAACGCUAGCUACAGGCUUAACACAUGCAAGUCGAGGGGCAGCGGGAUUGAAGCUUGCUUCAAUUGCCGGCGACCGGCGCACGGGUGAGUAACGCGUACCCAACCUUCCGUACACUCAGGGAUAGCCUUUCGAAAGGAAGAUUAAUACCUGAUGGUAUGAUGAGAUUGCAUGAUAUCAUCAUUAAAGAUUUAUCGGUGUACGAUGGGGAUGCG